UACGUAGGGUGCGAGCGUUAAUCGGAAUUACUGGGCGUAAAGCGUGCGUAGGCGGUUCGUUAAGUCAGCUGUGAAAGCCCCGGGCUCAACCUGGGAAUUGCGGUUGAAACUGGCGAACUAGAAUCUGGCAGAGGGGGGUGGAAUUCCACGUGUAGCAGUGAAAUGCGUAGAGAUGUGGAGGAACACCGAUGGCGAAGGCAGCCCCCUGGGCUGAGAUUGACGCUCAGGCACGAAAGCGUGGGGAGCAAACAGG
RNAcentral lists this ribosomal RNA (253 nucleotides) under uncultured bacterium. RNAcentral's name for it is "partial 16S ribosomal RNA". It matches the Rfam family "Bacterial small subunit ribosomal RNA", at positions 524 to 776 of the family's 1533-position model. The record is from RNAcentral.